UACGUAGGCAGCAAGCGUUGUUCGGAGUUACUGGGCGUAAAGGGUGCGUAGGCGGCUUUUUUAAGUUUUGGUGUGAAAUCUCCCGGCUCAACUGGGAGGGUGCGCCGAAUACUGAGAGGCUAGAGUGUGGGAGAGGAAAGUGGAAUUCCUGGUGUAGCGGUGAAAUGCGUAGAUAUCAGGAGGAACACCGGUGGUGUAAACGGCUUUCUGGACCAUAACUGACGCUGAGGCACGAAAAGCGUGGGUAGCAAACAGG
RNAcentral lists this ribosomal RNA (256 nucleotides) under uncultured bacterium. Its description in RNAcentral is "partial 16S ribosomal RNA". It matches the Rfam family "Bacterial small subunit ribosomal RNA", at positions 524 to 776 of the family's 1533-position model. The record is from RNAcentral.